AAUGGUGAGUGCUAGGUGUCGGGAGUCAAAUCUCGGUGCCGACGUUAACACAUUAAGCACUCCGCCUGGGGAGUACGCACGCAAGUGUGAAACUCAAAGGAAUUGACGGGGACCCGCACAAGCAGCGGAGCAUGUGGUUUAAUUCGAUGCAACGCGAAAAACCUUACCAGGACUUGACAUAUGGAUGCCCGGUAUAGAGAUAUACCCUUUCUUCGGAACAUUCAUACAGGUGGUGCAUGGCUGUCGUCAG
This 250-nucleotide ribosomal RNA is filed under the name uncultured bacterium. RNAcentral describes it as "partial 16S ribosomal RNA". It matches the Rfam family "Bacterial small subunit ribosomal RNA", at positions 805 to 1058 of the family's 1533-position model. The record is from RNAcentral.